CUUUCGGGAAUGGAAAUGAAAUGAAAGUGGCGAACGGGUGAGUAACACGUGAGCAACCUACCUUACACAGGGGGAUAGCCGUUGGAAACGACGAUUAAUACCGCAUGAGACCACAGAAUCGCAUGAUAUAGGGGUCAAAGAUUUAUCGGUGUAAGAAGGGCUCGCGUCUGAUUAGCUAGUUGGAAGGGUAAAGGCCUACCAAGGCGACGAUCAGUAGCCGGUCUGAGAGGAUGAACGGCCACAUUGGAACUGAGACACGGUCCAAACUCCUACGGGAGGCAGCAGUGGGGAAU
This 293-nucleotide ribosomal RNA is filed under the name Parvimonas micra. Its description in RNAcentral is "partial 16S ribosomal RNA". It matches the Rfam family "Bacterial small subunit ribosomal RNA", at positions 73 to 362 of the family's 1533-position model. Lineage: Bacteria; Bacillati; Bacillota; Tissierellia; Tissierellales; Peptoniphilaceae. The record is from RNAcentral.